AGUGAGCUACCCAUGGCCAGGGUGAAGCGAGUCUAAACGCUCGUGGAGGCCCGAACCUUUAGCUGUUGCAAAAGCUUGGGAUGAGCUGUGGGUAGAGGUGAUAUGCCAAACGAACUUGGAGAUAGCUUGUUCUCCCCGAAAUAGCUUUAGGGCUAGCGUCACGCGUUUAGUACUGGAGGUAGAGCACUGGAUGGGCUAGGGGGCUUAUCGCUUACCAAACCCAACCAAACUCCGAAUGCCAGUACUCCAGAGCGUGGCAGUCGGACUACGGGAGAUGAGUUUCGUAGUCGAGAGGGAAAGAGCCCAGACCAUCGGCUAAGGUCCUUAAGUCUGAGCUAAGUGGGAAACGAUGUGGGACUGUUGAGACAGCCAGGAGGUUGGCUUAGAAGCAGCCAUCCUUUAAAGAGUGCGUAACAGCUCACUGGUCAAACGGUCCUGCGCGGAUAAUUUAACGGGGCUCAAGCUCAGCACCGAAGCCAUGGGUUUCGGUCACCUGCGGGUGACCGGAGCGGUAGGGGAGCGUUCUGUCAGCGGUGAAGGUCGACCGUGAGGACGGCUGGAGCGGGCAGAAGUGAGAAUGCAGGCAUGAGUAGCGUAAAACACGUGAGAACCGUGUUCGCCGUAAGUCUAAGGUUUCCGACGGAAGGUCAAUCCGCGUCGGGUUAGUCGGUCCUUAGCCGAGGCCGAAAGGCGUAGGCGAUGGACAUCCGGUCAACAUUCCGGAACCACCUAAGUGGAGCGAUGGGGGGACGCAGCGAGGUAGGCCAGCCUGCGAUUGGUAGUGCAGGUGGUAAGUGUGUAGGCGUUGAUGUCUGUAGGAAAAUCCGCAGACGGAGCUGAGGCACGAUGCCGAGCCCAAGAGGCGUAAGUGGUUGAGCCUUGUUGCCAAGAAAAACCUCUAAGCGUUGAAACUCGGGUGACCGUACCGCAAACCGACACUGGUAGACGGGUAGAGAAUACCAAGGCGAACGGGAGAACCCUCGUUAAGGAACUAGGCAAAUUAACCCCGUAACUUCGGGAGAAGGGGUGCCUACUGAUGUGAAGUGUAUACUCGCGGAGCAUUGGGAGGUCGCAGUGAAAUGGCUCUGGUGACUGGUUACCAAAACCACAGGUCUCUGCAAAGCCGUAAGGCGAUGUAUAGGGGCUGACACCUGCCCAGUGCCGGAAGGUUAAAGGGAGGGGUUAGUCUUCGGACAAAGCUCUGAACUGAAGCCCCGGUGAACGGCGGCCGUAACUAUAACGGUCCUAAGGUAGCGAAAUUCC
Molecule: ribosomal RNA, 1263 nt
Filed under: Deltaproteobacteria bacterium
Lineage: Bacteria; Pseudomonadati; Myxococcota; Myxococcia
Description: partial 23S ribosomal RNA
Rfam family: Bacterial large subunit ribosomal RNA
Source: RNAcentral